This 228-nucleotide ribosomal RNA is filed under the name uncultured bacterium. Its description in RNAcentral is "partial 16S ribosomal RNA". It matches the Rfam family "Bacterial small subunit ribosomal RNA", at positions 122 to 334 of the family's 1533-position model. The record is from RNAcentral.
CGAACCUGCCCGAAGGUGGGGGAUAACCCUCCGAAAGGAGGGCUAAUACCGCAUGAUAUCCAAGAGACCCCGGCUUUUUGAUCAAAGCUAGCCUCUACAUGUAAGCUAGCGCCAUCGGAGGGGCUCGCGGCCCAUUAGCUUGAUGGUGAGGUAACGGCUCACCAUGGCUACGAUGGGUGGCCGGCCUGAGAGGGCGAUCGGCCACACUGGAACUGAGACACGGUCCAG